RNAcentral lists this ribosomal RNA (459 nucleotides) under uncultured bacterium. RNAcentral's name for it is "partial 16S ribosomal RNA". It matches the Rfam family "Bacterial small subunit ribosomal RNA", at positions 339 to 795 of the family's 1533-position model. The record is from RNAcentral.
CUACGGGAUGCACCAGUGAGGAAUAUUGGGCAAUGGACGCAAGUCUGACCCAGCCAUCCCGCGUGCAGGAUGACAGCCCUAUGGGUUGUAAACUGCUUUUAUACUCCACGAAACCCAUGUUCGUGAACAUGGCUGACUGUAGAGUAAGAAUAAGCAUCGGCUAACUCCGUGCCAGCAGCCGCGGUAAUACGGAGGAUGCAGGCGUUAUCCGGAUUUAUUGGGUUUAAAGGGUGCGUAGGCGGAAAUGUAAGUCAGUGGUGAAAUCCUACAGCUUAACUGUAGAACUGCCAUUGAUACUGUAUUUCUUGAGUAUAUUUGAGGUAGGCGGAACGUGUCAUGUAGCGGUGAAAUGCUUAGAUAUGACACAGAACACCGAUUGCGUAGGCAGCUUACUAAACUAUUACUGACGCUGAGGCACGAAAGCGUGGGGAGCAAACAGGAUUAGAUACCCCUGUAGUC